This 189-nucleotide long non-coding RNA is filed under the name Amphimedon queenslandica. Its description in RNAcentral is "uncharacterized LOC109587065, transcript variant X1". The record is from RNAcentral. Lineage: Eukaryota; Metazoa; Porifera; Demospongiae; Haplosclerida; Niphatidae.
AUACGGUAAAGGAUUCCCUCCUCUUCACUGGCUCUUUGAUCUACAAAGUGUCACUCCUGCAAAGGAAGAAGAGGAGAAAAAGAUAGAGGCUUUACUCUGCAGCAACUUUAGGAAGCCUAUACCCUGUGACAAGGAGAGCAUCAAGUAGGCUACCAGUUUAACUGACUCUGAUCUAUAUUAUAGUGAGUG